AGUCAAUAGAUACCCGGGUAGUCCACGCCCUAAACGAUGUCAACUAGGUGUUGGGAGCGCAAGUUCUUGGUACCGCAGCUAAACGCGUGAAGUUGACCGCCUGGGGAGUACGGUCGCAAGAUUAAAACUCAAAGGAAUUGACGGGGACCCGCACAAGCGGUGGAUGAUGUGGAUUAAAUUCGAUGCAACGCGAACAACCUUACCUACCCUUGACAUGUCCGGAAGUCUGGUGAAAGCCGGGGGUGCCCGCAAGGGAACCGGAACACAGGUGCUGCAUGGCUGUCGUCAGCUCGUGUCGUGAGAUGUUGGGUUAAGUCCCGCAACGAGCGCAACCCUUGUCCUUAGUUGCUACGCAAGGGCACUCUAAGGAGACUGCCGGUGACAAACCGGAGGAAGGUGGGGAUGACGUCAAGUCCUCAUGGCCCUUAUGGGUAGGGCUUCACACGUCAUACAAUGGUCGGUACAGAGGGUAGCCAACCCGCGAGGGGAGCCAAUCCCAGAAAGCCGAUCGUAGUCCGGAUCGCAGUCUGCAACUCGACUGCGUGAAGUC
RNAcentral lists this ribosomal RNA (550 nucleotides) under uncultured bacterium. Its description in RNAcentral is "bacterial SSU rRNA". It matches the Rfam family "Bacterial small subunit ribosomal RNA", at positions 775 to 1327 of the family's 1533-position model. The record is from RNAcentral.